CCCGCUCAAGAACUACAAAGGAAUUGGACGGGGGCCCCGCACAAGCGGUGGAGUAUGUGGUUUAAUUCGAUGCAACGCGAAGAACCUUACCUGGUCUUGACAUCCCGGAGACCCUUAGGAAACUAGGGGGUGCUUCCAUCUGGAAGAAUCUGGAGACAGGUGCUGCAUGGCUGUCGUCAGCUCGUGUCGUGAGAUGUUGGGUUAAGUCCCGCAACGAGCGCAACCCUUGCCUUUAGUUGCCAUCAGGUAAUGCUGGGGACUCUAAAGGAACUGCCUACGCAAGUAGUGAGGAAGGCGGGGAUGACGUCAAAUCAGCACGGCCCUUACGUCCAGGGCUACACACGUGCUACAAUGGCCGAUACAGAGGGCAGCUACCUGGUGACAGGAUGCAAAUCUCCAAAGUCGGUCUCAGUUCGGAUCGGAGUCUGCAACCCAACUCCGUGAAGUUGGAUUCGCUAGUAAUCGCGCAUCAGCCAUGGCGCGGUGAAUACGUUCCCGGGCCUU
RNAcentral lists this ribosomal RNA (504 nucleotides) under uncultured Sphingobacteriales bacterium. RNAcentral's name for it is "bacterial SSU rRNA". It matches the Rfam family "Bacterial small subunit ribosomal RNA", at positions 903 to 1382 of the family's 1533-position model. Lineage: Bacteria; Pseudomonadati; Bacteroidota; Sphingobacteriia; Sphingobacteriales. The record is from RNAcentral.